GCGGGAUAGCUCAGUUGGUAGAGAAAUAGACUCUUUAGGGUUGUGGGUUUGAGCCCCACGUUGGGCA
This is a non-coding RNA of Podarcis lilfordi (Lilford's wall lizard), 67 nucleotides long. Lineage: Eukaryota; Metazoa; Chordata; Lepidosauria; Squamata; Lacertidae. The record is from the annotation of a GenBank genome assembly.